CAGUAGUCAUAUGCUUGUCUCAAAGACUAAGCCAUGCAUGUCUAAGUUUAAGCGAUUUAAACGGUGAGACUGCGGACGGCUCAUUAUAUCAGUUAUAGUUUAUUUGAUGGUCGAUUACUACAAGGAUAACCGUAGGAAUUCUAGAGCUAAUACUUGCACUUCAAGGUGAUUUAAUCAUCACCUGCACUUAUUAGAUUUACCACCAAUGCUCUUCGGAGCUUCGGUGAUUCAUAGUAAUUUAGCGGAUCGCUACGACUUCGGUCGCGACGCUUCAUUCAAAUUUCUGCCCUAUCAGCUUUCGAUGGUAGUGUAUUGGACUACCAUGGCUUUGACGGGUAACGGAGAAUUAGGGUUCGAUUCCGGAGAGGGAGCCUGAGAAACGGCUACCACAUCUAAGGAAGGCAGCAGGCGCGCAAAUUACCCAAUCCCAACGCGGGGAGGUAGUGACAAGAAAUAACAACAACUAACCUAUUUCAGGUGAGUUGAUUGGAAUGAGUACAAUCUAAACACCUUAACGACUAUCCAUUGGAGGGCAAGCCUGGUGCCAGCAGCCGCGGUAAUUCCAGCUCCAAUAGCGUAUACUAAUGUUGUUGCAGUUAAAAAGCUCGUAGUCGGAUUUCAGUAGGCUCAGUUUAGUCUUCAUUGUAAGAUCUAUAUGGGCCUGCUUCUUUGACAGAAACUUCUAUGUUAUUCAUUUAGCGUGGGCAGCGACUGUCUCUUUUACUUUGAGAAAAUUAGAGUGUUCAAAGCAGGUAGAUGCCUGAAUAUUACUCUUGGAAUAAUGCUAUAAGACUUUGGUUCUAAUGUAUUGGUGAUUGGGACCAGAGUAAUGA
This 833-nucleotide ribosomal RNA is filed under the name Phyllostaurus cuspidatus. Its description in RNAcentral is "SSU rRNA". It matches the Rfam family "Eukaryotic small subunit ribosomal RNA", at positions 18 to 868 of the family's 1831-position model. The record is from RNAcentral. Lineage: Eukaryota; Acantharea; Arthracanthida; Phyllostauridae. RNAcentral also lists the same sequence under 1 other name.